GACGAACGCUGGCGGCGUGCUUAACACAUGCAAGUCGAGCGAGGCCCCUCCUUCGGGAGGGUGUCCUAGCGGCGAACGGGUGAGUAACACGUGGGCAACCUGCCCCCGGCUCUGGGAUAACUCCAAGAAAUUGGGGCUAAUACCGGAUAUGACCGCUGACCGCAUGGUCUGGUGGUGGAAAGAUUGAUCGGCUGGGGAUGGGCCCGCGGCCUAUCAGCUUGUUGGUGGGGUAGUGGCCUACCAAGGCGACGACGGGUAGCCGGCGUGAGAGGGUGACCGGCAACACUGGGACUGAGACACGGCCCAGAGUCCGACGGGAGGCAGCAGUGGGGAAUAUUGCGCAAUGGGCGGAAGCCUGACGCAGCGACGCCGCGUGGGGGAUGACGGCCUUCGGGUUGUAAACCUCUUUCAGCAGGGACGAAGCGAAAGUGACGGUACCUGCAGAAGAAGCACCGGCCAACUACGUGCCAGCCGCCGCGGUAA
This 483-nucleotide ribosomal RNA is filed under the name uncultured bacterium. RNAcentral describes it as "partial 16S ribosomal RNA". It matches the Rfam family "Bacterial small subunit ribosomal RNA", at positions 28 to 523 of the family's 1533-position model. The record is from RNAcentral.